Molecule: unclassified non-coding RNA, 218 nt
Filed under: soil metagenome
Description: partial contains 5.8S ribosomal RNA, internal transcribed spacer 2, and large subunit ribosomal RNA
Source: RNAcentral
AACCUUAUGGACCUGCGGGCGUAUACCUGCGGAAGGAUCAUUACAAGUGACCCCGGUCUUACCACCGGGAUGUUCAUAACCCUUUGUUGUCCGACUCUGUUGCCUCCGGGGCGACCCUGCCUUCGGGCGGGGGCUCCGGGUGGACACUUCAAACUCUUGCGUAACUUUGCAGUCUGAGUAAACUUAAUUAAUAAAUUAAAACUUUCAGCAACGGAUCU